Non-coding RNA from Caenorhabditis elegans, 176 nucleotides. Lineage: Eukaryota; Metazoa; Nematoda; Chromadorea; Rhabditida; Rhabditidae. The record is from Ensembl.
UUUGUUUUAGUGUAUAUCAAGAACAAUCAGCUCCGAGAUGUUGGAAGUUUUCAAACGAUGAGAAAGGACGGUGUAAUCGGUAAAGAAAACAAACCAUUUAGUUUUGAGUAUACACGAAAAGUGAAAGCAAAAGAAAAGUGAGAAUCAAACUCGAUUGCGUAAUUUCAACUAAUGCC